This 267-nucleotide ribosomal RNA is filed under the name uncultured bacterium. Its description in RNAcentral is "partial 16S ribosomal RNA". It matches the Rfam family "Bacterial small subunit ribosomal RNA", at positions 88 to 354 of the family's 1533-position model. The record is from RNAcentral.
CCGGCGACCGGCGCACGGGUGAGUAACACGUAUGCAACCUGCCCCUGUCAGGGGGACAACCCGCCGAAAGGCGGGCUAAACCCGCGUACAUGCCACCGGGGCAUCCCGGAGGCAGGAAAGGCUUCGGCCGGACAGGGAUGGGCAUGCGGCGCAUUAGGCAGUAGGCGGGGUAACGGCCCACCGAGGCGACGAUGCGUAGGGGUUCUGAGAGGAAGGUCCCCCACACUGGUACUGAGACACGGACCAGACUCCUACGGGAGGCAGCAG